CCUACGGGUGGCUGCAGUGGGGGAUAUUGCACAAUGGGGGAAACCCUGAUGCAGCGACGCCGCGUGUGGGAAGACGGUCUUCUGGAUUGUAAACCACUGUCCCCAGGGACGAAAAUGACGGUACCUGGGGAGGAAGCUCCGGCUAACUACGUGCCAGCAGCCGCGGUAAUACGUAGGGAGCAAGCGUUGUCCGGAAUUACUGGGUGUAAAGGGAGCGUAGGCGGGGAUGCAAGUUGGGUGUAAAAACUACCGGCUCAACCGAUAGUCGCACUCAAAACUGCAGCUCUUGAGUGAAGUAGAGGCAGGCGGAAUUCCUAGUGUAGCGGUGAAAUGCGUAGAUAUUAGGAGGAACACCAGUGGCGAAGGCGGCCUGCUGGGCUUUUACUGACGCUGAGGCUCGAAAGUGUGGGGAGCAAACAGGAUUAGAUACCCGUGUAGUC
Molecule: ribosomal RNA, 440 nt
Filed under: uncultured bacterium
Lineage: Bacteria
Description: partial 16S ribosomal RNA
Rfam family: Bacterial small subunit ribosomal RNA
Source: RNAcentral